Molecule: small nuclear RNA, 299 nt
Filed under: Callithrix jacchus (white-tufted-ear marmoset)
Lineage: Eukaryota; Metazoa; Chordata; Mammalia; Primates; Cebidae
Description: 7SK RNA
Rfam family: 7SK RNA
About the family: 7SK was discovered as an abundant small nuclear RNA in the mid-70s but a possible function has only recently been suggested. Two independent studies have found that 7SK RNA binds the CDK9/cyclin T complex (known as elongation factor P-TEFb). P-TEFb activates transcription by phosphorylating the C-terminal domain of RNA polymerase II.
Source: Rfam by way of RNAcentral
GGAUGUGAGGGCGAUCUGGCUGCGACAUCUGUCACCCCAUUGAUCGCCAGGGUUGAUUCGGCUGAUCUGGCUGGCUAGGCGGGUGUCCCCUUCCUCCCUCACCGCUCCAUGUGCGUCCCUCCCGAAGCUGCGCGCUCGGUCGAAGAGGACGACCAUCCCCGAUAGAGGAGGACCGGUCUUCGGUCAAGGGUAUACGAGUAGCUGCGCUCCCCUGCUAGAACCUCCAAAGUUAAUGAUGGAUGAUGACAAACAUUCACUCACACUUCGCGUAGACGUCCCGACAGGACACGCCUGUGAUC